RNAcentral lists this ribosomal RNA (253 nucleotides) under uncultured bacterium. RNAcentral describes it as "partial 16S ribosomal RNA". It matches the Rfam family "Bacterial small subunit ribosomal RNA", at positions 524 to 776 of the family's 1533-position model. The record is from RNAcentral.
UACAGAGGUCCCAAGCGUUGUUCGGAUUCACUGGGCGUAAAGGGUGCGUAGGUGGCUGGGAAAGUUUGAUGUGAAAUCCCCGGGCUCAACCCGGGAACUGCAUUGAAAACUAUCCAGCUAGAGGGUCGGAGGGGAGACUGGAAUUCUUGGUGUAGCAGUGAAAUGCGUAGAUAUCAAGAGGAACACCAGUGGCGAAGGCGAGUCUCUGGACGACACCUGACACUGAGGCACGAAAGCUAGGGGAGCAAACAGG